ACCUACGGAGGGCAGCAGUAGGGAAUUUUCGUCAAUGGGCGCAAGCCUGAACGAGCAAUGCCGCGUGAACGAGGAAGGUCUUCGGAUCGUAAAGUUCUGUUGAAGGGGAAAAAGAGCGGAGAGAGGAAAUGGUCUCCGAUUGAUAUUACCCUUCGAGGAAGUCACGGCUAACUACGUGCCAGCAGCCGCGGUAAUACGUAGGUGGCGAGCGUUAUCCGGAAUGAUUGGGCGUAAAGGGUGCGUAGGCGGCCUGCUAAGUCUGGAGUGAAAGGUACCGGCUCAACCGGUACAGGCUCUGGAAACUG
Molecule: ribosomal RNA, 305 nt
Filed under: uncultured bacterium
Lineage: Bacteria
Description: bacterial SSU rRNA
Rfam family: Bacterial small subunit ribosomal RNA
Source: RNAcentral